GGGGGUCUUCUAGUCAGGGCAGCCCAGGACUUCCAUACACACUGCCUAGGCUUGUGCCCCAGGAGGUCUCUUUGGUGCUGCUAACACAGAAAAACAAUGCAGGAAGCAGCAAUUGUGAGUUACCAGCCACAGAAGGUGCUGUGAUUCUCCAGCAGUUUGACUUCACCCACGGAGGCACAAGAAGAACAAGAACAACAUGCUUUUUGCUCUUUAAACCGCAGUGUGAACACCCCUUUCAACAGAAGCCUAGAUGUGAUCACAAGCAGACCUUGGAAUUCCCUACCCAGAGAGCUCCACUUUUCCUUUUCCUUGAUGCUUUUCUCGCAUGGUGCACACACUUCCCUUUGUUGGAUAGUCGUCAGUUGUUAGUAAGGUGAGACUAAUGAAUUUUUACUGCUCUUCUUACAUUUUUGACUUCGCUUCCUUGUAUCUUCUGUUAUGUAAUACAGUGGUGCCUCGCAAGACGAAAAGAAUCCGUUCUGUGAGUCUCUUCGUCUAGCGGUUUUUUCGUCUUGCGAAGCAAGCCCAUUGACGGAUUAGCGGAUUAGCGCUAUUAGUGCUAUUAGCGGCUUUUAGUGGCUUAUCGGCUUAUCGGAUAAGCGGCUUAGCGGCUUAGCGGCUUAGAAAAAGGGGGGGGAAGGAAAAAAAAAACCGCAGGAACUCGCAAGACAUUUUCAUCUUGCGAAGCAAGCCCAUAGGAGAUUCGUUUUGCGAAGCACCUCCAAAACAGAAAACUCUUUCGUCUAGCGAGUUUUCCGUCUUGCGAGGCAUUCGUCUUGCGGGGCACCACUGUAAUGUUUUCAUGAUUUAUUACGUUGUGAUUGUGUCUUUACUGUAUUCUUUAUGUAUAGACAUGUUGUUUUUGUUUCUUCAUUAAACCACCUUAAUCUUUUUGGAAAGGCAGGAUAUAAAUGUUCCCCACUCCCAGUUUUGGUGGUUGGGAUGAACUUGUGUUCUUUAGGUCAGGUGUGAGGAAACCUUUGGCCCUCCAGAUGUUGCUGAACCAUGACUCUCAUCAUCCCUGACCAAUGGCCAUGUUUUCUGGGGCUCAUAUAAUUCAACAACAUCUGGAGGGCCAAAUGUUCCCCACACUUGACCUAAGACAGAGAGGGAAGUAAUAUUGUCCAGGAUGAGCCACACAUCCUGUAGCUCUGGGGAAGCCAAUGUAAUGCCCUCCAUUUGUUGGACUAGAACACCCAGCAUUCCUGACCAUUGGCCAUGCUCACUAAGGCUGAUGGGAACUGGAGCCCAGCAACAUACGGAGGGCACCAUGUUGGCUACCCCAACUGUAGGUGAUAUAUAUCAAAGAAGUUUUAGCUGAGAGCUAUAAGUGACAUCAAGUGGUGUCACGUGACUUCAUCUAUUACAGUGGUACCUCGGGUUAAGAACUUAAUUUGUUCUGGAGGUCCAUUCUUAACCUGAAACUGUUCUUAACCUGAGGUACCACUUUAGCUAAUGGGGCCUCCCGCUGCCACCGCACGAUUUCUGUUCUUAUCCUGAAGCAAAGUUAGCGGAGUCUGUAACCUGAAGCAUCUGUAACCUGAAGCGUCUGUAACCCGAGGUACCACUGUAGGUCUCUCUUAUAGCAGACUGAUUAUUUCAGUCUUUCUUUUUAAUUUGUUUUUCAUGUUCUUAGGUUGGUACUGCUGUCUAAGAAAUGUCUGGUGUAAAUCCUGUUGUGAAUCUCUGUCUGAAGGGUCAGGAUGGAUGCUGUUGUAUUGCAGGACUUACCUGUAGACAAUGGAUUUUGUGGUGUGUUCUGGGUGGAAGCUGGAUUCAUAAAAAUAUUACAGACUUUCAAUAAGAAAGUUUCCAAUAUAAAGUGGUCGUUACAGUGGUACCUUGGUUCUCAAACACCAAAAACCCGGAAUUAAGUGUUCCGGUUUUCGAAUGUUUUUCAGAAGCCGAACAUCCAAUGCGGCUGUCAGCUAUUGUUUCCGGGGAACUGCACCAAUCAGAAGCUGCACUUUGGUUUUCGAACAUUUCAGAAGUCAAACUGACUUUCGGAACGGAUUAGGUUUGGCGCUUUUGUUUUUGCUAUUUAUUUUGCAGUUUUGCCUUUGAGACUUUUUCAGUUAAUUUGUUUUUGUGACUGUGUGAAACCCAGUUCAGCUACUGGUUGAUUGAUUGAUUGUGUGACUGUGGAAAUGGAUUUAAAAAAUCACCCAUCCAAACAAUGACUAUCAUCAGUGCAGGUAAGAAAAAAAAUUAAUUUUAAUUUUUAUCAUCUAUGUACGAUACUGUCUUUCAUUUUAUGGAUCGUUUGAUAGUAAAAUUCAUGUUAAAUUGCUGUUUUAGGGAUUGUUUUUAAAAAUCUGGAACUGAUUAAUCCAUUUUGCAUUACUUUCUUUGGGAAAGCGCUCCUUGGUUUUGGAAUGCUUUGGUUUUGGAAUGGACUUCCGGAACAGAACCAAGGUACCACUGUAUAAGUCCAUUACAUAGUCUCACAAUAGUAUCUGUUUCCAGAAAUUGCACCUGUUCUUUAAACUAGUACAGGCUCAGGUUUGGUUUGGUUUUGUUUUUUUAAGAAAAUGACUGCAUUCAUCCUAACUUCUCUUUGCUUAUUCUCUCUAUCCAUCAAUGUAGGGGGAGAAGCCAGAAUGGAGGCUGAGAACCUCACUUCUAUUACUGAAUUCAUCUUGGUGGGACUCACCAGCCACCGCAAGACCCAGAUUUUGCUCUUUGUGGUCGUCCUCAACAUAUAUUUGCUUACCAUUGCGGGGAACCUGGUGAUCAUCAUGCUUGUUCGG
This is a non-coding RNA of Podarcis lilfordi (Lilford's wall lizard), 2750 nucleotides long. The record is from the annotation of a GenBank genome assembly. NCBI's taxonomy places the organism in Eukaryota, Metazoa, Chordata, Lepidosauria, Squamata, Lacertidae.